AUUUACAAACACAAAUAUUCACAUGAGAAACAAAAACUAUAUUUAAAAGUAGUAAUUUGAAAGUGAGAAAUAAUGUCAUCACGUUGACCAAAACUAAAUGAUAAAUUUGGAGCACUAUACAACUUCACAUAUAACACAUUGAACUGAAAAAUUAAAACUUUAAAUUAAAACAACACAUAGAAGCUAUAUAUAAGUUGUGUUUAAGACGGAGUAAAUAAGCUUACCUAAUAUAAUAAUCACGAGGCACGAAAACUUCAUUUAGAGGACCAAAGUAGCCAAAUAGUCUGCAAAUCUUUUGGCCUGCAAAGUGCAAAUAGAGUAUUACAGUUGAUUUCAUACAAUUGUUGCAAAAAUUUAAAUAAAUCAUUUAAAAAUAUAUGAUGAAGAAGACACCAUUUUUAUAAAAUACCUUAAAGUUGGUGAUAUAGAAGCUAACAAAUUAUUUAUUUUCACUAAUUCUUUCACUAAUUGCAUACAAAUGAUGGUAUAGAAAAGCACAAAAAAAUAAGACCACAAAGCCAUCAUUUUUUCCUUUUGAGACAUUUCCUCAAACACUUUGAGUGCUCACUCUCACAAUCAAAUGAGAGUUUUCAAAUACAAUGAAAGCUAUGUAGUUUACCAACUUUCAUUAAACUAAGGAGUUCAAGGGAUGACAAUGAUUCUUCCUAUCUAAAUCAAACUAAAGUAAUUAAAAGUAUCAAACUAUAAGUGAUCACUCAAACAAUAGAUCAAUUCCAUUGAAAAUUAGAAAUCUACUAAUAAACAAUGGUUUAACUACAAAUCAUAAUAAGCUAAGCAAGUAUACCUUUAGGAAAACCAUCAAAACUUGGUUUAACUUACAUCUAAAUUAUGGCAAUAGAGUUAGAAAAACAGUUAAUAUAGCAAAAUAUUUAAACAAUAUAUUUAGAAAAUCAAAAGACAUACUUUGUUUUUUGAGAAGCCCUUUGAACAUUCAUUUAUGAAGAUAGCUGCAAAGAAAAUACAUAACUCAUUAAAGAGAACAAUGGUGAAACCCAUGACAUUCAAAGCCAAGAAAAACAAUACCUCUUGAACUGGUUCCAGCGGUGUGUCCUUGUCAAUGGCGGUUCCGACAAAGUCGUUGUGUAUGAAGGGUUCCUUCUAUCGCCGCUUCAAUUGAUAUUUUCCUUGAAUUCAAAAUCAAAGUUACUCCACGUAUCUAAAUGAAAACAGAAAAAUAGAAUCAAAUUAAUUUGAAACAACAACAAUAAGAGAAACAAAAAAUCAUCAAUGGGUAUUUUGAAGGGUAAUAAACAAUGAAAUCUAUAAUCAAAACUCAAAAAAUUCAAGGCCAAUAAGAAGAGAGAAAAGCAAUAAGAAGCAAAUGAGAAAAAAAAUUGAAGUUUACCGUUGAUUAUCUUCUGCAAGCCAAUAAUGAAGANNN
This 1402-nucleotide long non-coding RNA is filed under the name Trifolium pratense (red clover). Its description in RNAcentral is "long non-coding RNA (TPRA_LNC001050)". Lineage: Eukaryota; Viridiplantae; Streptophyta; Magnoliopsida; Fabales; Fabaceae. The record is from RNAcentral.